Molecule: non-coding RNA, 603 nt
Organism: Cinara cedri
Lineage: Eukaryota; Metazoa; Arthropoda; Insecta; Hemiptera; Aphididae
Source: the annotation of a GenBank genome assembly
GUUCAAACAUAACGUAAUAAAAGAAGAAAACGCACCGGAUUCGAUUCAACCGGUGACCGGUGGUUGAAAACAAUGUAAAACUAUAAUAUCGUCAUUAUUACACCGUAACAUUAUGCGUUUCAUAUUUCGUAGUUCUACAGGAUGAUCAAAUAGCAUUUAAACGAUCCAAUCAAACUGAUUUAGAUAUACCGGUAACGUCUAAUUAAAACUUUGCGCUAAUAACGUACAUGAAAAAAAAAAAAAAAAUGCAAUUAUCGUCACGUGUUAUUUAUUGGCUGAGAUACGUUUUAUAAUACACUGUAACAAACUUUCGACACACGCACGAACUUUAAUUUUCGGUACAAUUAACAUGUGUUAUCGCGCGGUCUAACGAAAAACAAACCGUUUCCGGAGUUAAAUUUUUGUGUUGUGUGUUUUUUUUUUUUUUUUUAUGAAUAUCGAUUUUAUGGAAUAUCCAGGUUCGCGCCUGUGUCGCAGUAUACGCGGGUUAGCGACGAUACGGAUAAUUUAAUAAUCUGUACUGUACUUACGGUUUUCCGAAAAUGAACGCGAAAAAAUCAACGUCGGUGCCCGUCACUUUGACGGUAAUCGCGGUCGCCGCCC